Molecule: ribosomal RNA, 479 nt
Filed under: uncultured soil bacterium
Lineage: Bacteria
Description: bacterial SSU rRNA
Rfam family: Bacterial small subunit ribosomal RNA
Source: RNAcentral
AGGACGAACGCUGGCGGCGUGCCCAACACAUGCAAGUCGAACGAGGUCCAUGCAGUGGCAACACUGCGGAAGACCUAGUGGCGAACGGGUGAGUAACACGUGAGGAACUUGCCCCGGAGACCGGGAUAACCCUUCGAAAGGAGGGCUAAUACCGGAUGUCCUCACCGAGUCGCAUGGCUUGGUGAGGAAAUGGAUUCCGCUCCGGGAGAGCCUCGCGGCCUAUCAGCUAGUUGGUGGGUAACGGCCCACCAAGGCAUCGACGGGUAGCUGGUCUGAGAGGACGAUCAGCCACACUGGGACUGAGACACGGCCCAGACUCCUACGGGAGGCAGCAGUGGGAAUCUUGCGCAAUGGGCGAAAGCCUGACGCAGCAACGCCGCGUGCGGGAUGAAGGCCUUGGUUGUAACCGCUUUCAGUGGGACGAACCAAGACGUACCCACAGAAGAACGCCCCGGACCAACUACGUGCCAGCCAGCCGC